Molecule: transfer RNA, 73 nt
Filed under: Enterocytozoon bieneusi H348
Lineage: Eukaryota; Fungi; Microsporidia; Enterocytozoonidae
Description: tRNA-Val (CAC) (tRNA-Val-CAC-1-1)
Rfam family: tRNA
About the family: Transfer RNA (tRNA) molecules are approximately 80 nucleotides in length. Their secondary structure includes four short double-helical elements and three loops (D, anti-codon, and T loops).
Source: Rfam by way of RNAcentral
GCGUUUAUAGUGUAGUGGUUAUCACAUUCGCAUCACACGCGAAAGGCCUUCGGUUCGAACCCGAAUAGACGCA